UACGGGAGGGUGCGAGUACGUUAAGUACGGUAAUUACGUGGGGACGUAAAGCGCAUGCGAGGGUUGGUUUAGGUUAAGUCAGAUGUAGAAACGGCCCCGGGGCUACCAACCCGUACGGUAAUUGCUAUUUAGAAACGUGGCAGACUAGAGUACUGUAGGAGGGGGUAGAAUUUCAGGUGUAGCGGUGAAAUGCGUAGAGAUCUGAAGGAAUACCGGCGGCGAAGGCGGCCCCCUGGACAGAUACUGACACUCAGAUGCGAAAGCGUGGGGAGCAAACAGGAUUAGAUACCCUGGUAG
RNAcentral lists this ribosomal RNA (297 nucleotides) under uncultured bacterium. Its description in RNAcentral is "partial 16S ribosomal RNA". The stretch from base 42 to 297 matches the Rfam family "Bacterial small subunit ribosomal RNA", at positions 556 to 793 of the family's 1533-position model. The record is from RNAcentral.